AUUGAACGCUGGCGGCAUGCCUUACAUAUGCAAGUCGAACGGUAACAGGUUAAGCUGACGAGUGGCGAACGGGUGAGUAAUAUAUCGGAACGUGCCCAAUCGUGGGGGAUAACGCAGCGAAAGUUGUGCUAAUACCGCAUAAGAUCUACGGAUGAAAGCGGGGGAUCGCAAGACCUCGCGCGAGUGGAGCGGCCGAUAUCAGAUUAGCUAGUUGGUGGGGUAAAGGCCCACCAAGGCGACGAUCUGUAGCUGGUCUGAGAGGACGACCAGCCACACUGGGACUGAGACACGGCCCAGACUCCUACGGGAGGCAGCAGUGGGGAAUUUUGGACAAUGGGCGCAAGCCUGAUCCAGCAAUGCCGCGUGCAGGAUGAAGGCCUUCGGGUUGUAAACUGCUUUUGUACGGAGCGAAAAAGCUCUCUCUAAUACAGAGGGCUCAUGACGGUACCGUAAGAAUAAGCACCGGCUAACUACGUGCCAGCCGCCGCGGUAA
Molecule: ribosomal RNA, 493 nt
Filed under: uncultured bacterium
Lineage: Bacteria
Description: partial 16S ribosomal RNA
Rfam family: Bacterial small subunit ribosomal RNA
Source: RNAcentral